RNAcentral lists this non-coding RNA (21 nucleotides) under Arabidopsis thaliana (thale cress). Lineage: Eukaryota; Viridiplantae; Streptophyta; Magnoliopsida; Brassicales; Brassicaceae. RNAcentral also lists the same sequence under 1 other name. The record is from RNAcentral.
GGCAAUAACAGGUCUGUGAUG